CCUACGGGUGGCAGCAGUGAGGAAUAUUGGUCAAUGGGCGAGAGCCUGAACCAGCAAAGUCGCGUGAAGGAUGACGGCCCUACGGGUUGUAAACUUCUUUUGUCAGGGAGCAAUUGGGUCCACGCGUGGGCUUAGCGAGAGUACCUGAAGAAAAAGCAUCGGCUAACUCCGUGCCAGCAGCCGCGGUAAUACGUAGGGGGCAAGCGUUAUCCGGAAUUACUGGGUGUAAAGGGAGCGUAGACGGCAAUGCAAGUCCGGAGUGGAAUGCGGCAGCUCAACUGCCGAACUGCUCUGGAAACUGUAUGGCUUGAGUGCAGGAGGGGUAAGCGGAAUUCCUGGUGUAGCGGUGAAAUGCGUAGAUAUCAGGAGGAACACCGGUGGCGAAGGCGGCUUACUGGACUGUAACUGACGUUGAGGCUCGAAAGCGUGGGGAGCAAACAGGAUUAGAUACCCUUGUAGUC
Molecule: ribosomal RNA, 461 nt
Filed under: uncultured bacterium
Lineage: Bacteria
Description: partial 16S ribosomal RNA
Rfam family: Bacterial small subunit ribosomal RNA
Source: RNAcentral